This 71-nucleotide transfer RNA is filed under the name Coprococcus eutactus. It matches the Rfam family "tRNA". Rfam says of the family: Transfer RNA (tRNA) molecules are approximately 80 nucleotides in length. Their secondary structure includes four short double-helical elements and three loops (D, anti-codon, and T loops). RNAcentral also lists the same sequence under 2 other names. Lineage: Bacteria; Bacillati; Bacillota; Clostridia; Lachnospirales; Lachnospiraceae. The record is from RNAcentral.
GGGGUAUAGCUCAGUUGGGAGAGCACCUGCCUUGCAAGCAGGGGGUCACGAGUUCGAAUCUCGUUAUCUCC